Molecule: ribosomal RNA, 264 nt
Filed under: uncultured bacterium
Lineage: Bacteria
Description: partial 16S ribosomal RNA
Rfam family: Bacterial small subunit ribosomal RNA
Source: RNAcentral
UACGGAGGUGCAAGCGUUACUCGGAAUUACUGGGCGUAAGAGCGUGUAGGCGGUAAUAAGUUGGAAGUGAAUCCUAUGGCUCAACCGUAGAACUGCUUCCAAACUGUUAACCUAGAAUGUGGGAGAGGUAGAUGGAAUUUCUGGUGUAGGGUAAAUACCGUAGGAUAUCAGAAGGAAUACCGAUUGCGAAGGCGAUCUACUGGAACACAAUUGACGCUGAGACGCGAAAGCGUGGGAGCAAACAGGAUUAGAUACCCCUGUAGU